RNAcentral lists this ribosomal RNA (433 nucleotides) under uncultured bacterium. RNAcentral's name for it is "partial 16S ribosomal RNA". It matches the Rfam family "Bacterial small subunit ribosomal RNA", at positions 29 to 507 of the family's 1533-position model. The record is from RNAcentral.
AACGAACGCUGGCGGCAGGCUUAACACAUGCAAGUCGAACGCACCUUUCGGGGUGAGUGGCCGACGGGUGGGUAACGCGUGGGAAUCUACCCUUCUCUACGGGAUAGCUCCGGGAAACUGGAAUUAAUACCGUAUACGUCCUGAGGGAGAAAGAUUUAUCGGGGAAGGAUGAGCCCGCGUUGGAUUAGCUAGUUGGUGGGGUAAAGGCCUACCAAGGCGACGAUCCAUAGCUGGUCUAAGAGGAUGAUCAGCCACAUUGGGACUGAGACACGGCCCAAACUCCUACGGGAGGCAGCAGUGGGGAAUAUUGGACAAUGGGCGCAAGCCUGAUCCAGCCAUGCCGCGUGAGUGAUGAAGGCCCUAGGGUUGUAAAGCUCUUUCAGUGGGGACGAUAAUGACGGUACCCACAGAAGAAGCCCCGGCUAACUUCGUG